UACGUAGGUGGCAAGCGUUGUCCGGAAUUACUGGGUGUAAAUGGCGUGUAGGCGGGAUAGCAAGUCAGAUGUGAAAUUCCGGGGCUUAACCCCGGCACUGCAUCUGAAACUGUUAUUCUUGAGUGUCGGAGAGGAAAGUGGAAUUCCCAGUGUAGCGGUGAAAUGCGUAGAGAUUGGGAGGAACACCAGUGGCGAAGGCGGCUUUCUGGACGAUAACUGACGCUGAGGCGCGAAAGCGUGGGGAGCAAACAGG
This 253-nucleotide ribosomal RNA is filed under the name uncultured bacterium. Its description in RNAcentral is "partial 16S ribosomal RNA". It matches the Rfam family "Bacterial small subunit ribosomal RNA", at positions 524 to 776 of the family's 1533-position model. The record is from RNAcentral.